Drosophila subpulchrella is the source of this 312-nucleotide long non-coding RNA. RefSeq lists it as uncharacterized. The transcript has 2 exons. Lineage: Eukaryota; Metazoa; Arthropoda; Insecta; Diptera; Drosophilidae. The record is from RefSeq and is a predicted model, not a curated record.
AUUUCCGCGGUCACUCUAAUAUUUGACGAAAAGUGAAAAUGUACAAAGUAAAACAUUUACAUAUGUUAUUUUUUUUUUUUGCAAAUGACUGCACUACUCAAAGUCAAAUGGCUGGCCAAGAUGCCGAACUGGGCAAGUUGGCGUCCACCACUUCGCUGGGAAACUUCUAUCGAGGACAGAAGAAGGUCUUCCUGGCGCUGUUGCAAAGCUACAGGAGGCAUCCGAGUACAGCGUUAUCGGUCAUUUAUUGCUAAGUCCUGGACUUAUUUUUAUAAUUGAUCCGAAAUAUAUAAAAAUAAAUAUUUACCGCGA